This 298-nucleotide ribosomal RNA is filed under the name uncultured bacterium. RNAcentral describes it as "partial 16S ribosomal RNA". It matches the Rfam family "Bacterial small subunit ribosomal RNA", at positions 333 to 650 of the family's 1533-position model. The record is from RNAcentral.
GCACCCUACGGGAGGCAGCAGUGGGGAAUAUUGCACAAUGGGGGAAACCCUGAUGCAGCGACGCCGCGUGAGUGAAGAAGUAUUUCGGUAUGUAAAGCUCUAUCAGCAGGGAAGAAGUUGACGGUACCUGAGUAAGAAGCCCCGGCUAACUACGUGCCAGCAGCCGCGGUAAUACGUAGGGGGCGAGCGUUAUCCGGAUUCAUUGGGCGUAAAGCGCGCGUAGGCGGCCUGUUAGGUCGGGGGUCAAAUACCGGGGCUCAACCCCGGUCCGCCCCCGAUACCGGCAGGCUUGAGUCUG